This 226-nucleotide ribosomal RNA is filed under the name uncultured bacterium. Its description in RNAcentral is "partial 16S ribosomal RNA". It matches the Rfam family "Bacterial small subunit ribosomal RNA", at positions 538 to 763 of the family's 1533-position model. The record is from RNAcentral.
GCGUUACUCGGAAUUACUGGGCGUAAAGCGUGCGUAGGUGGUUUGUUAAGUCUGAUGUGAAAGCCCCGGGCUCAACCUGGGAAUUGCAUUGGAUACUGGCAGGCUAGAGUGCGGUAGAGGAUGGCGGAAUUCCCGGUGUAGCAGUGAAAUGCGUAGAGAUCGGGAGGAACAUCUGUGGCGAAGGCGGCCAUCUGGACCAGCACUGACACUGAGGCACGAAAGCGUG